Petromyzon marinus (sea lamprey) is the source of this 2864-nucleotide long non-coding RNA. RefSeq lists it as uncharacterized. Lineage: Eukaryota; Metazoa; Chordata; Hyperoartia; Petromyzontiformes; Petromyzontidae. The record is from RefSeq and is a predicted model, not a curated record.
CGCACGCACGUACAUACGCACACGCACGCACACACGCACACACGCACGCAAUCACAUUUGCGCAAGUACCUGCCCACACACUCGCAUGCACCACACAGGGAGUGCAGAUACCAAUCUGAACCUCUUCAAAUGUCACCCACACCCACGCAGCGCACGGCACACAAAGCACGACACGCCUUAUCAGAUGGGAAGUGACAUUCACGCGUCCACUGCCACGCAUCCCCCAUAUCGGCAGCUGCACGCUCAACCUUUCGGGCAGCGAAGGGUGAGCGGGAGUCGUUUGUGCCUUUUUAAAAAAAAUGACCAAGAGUCACGUCGCCGAUAAAAACAAAAAAAGUUUCGCGGCCGCAACUCAAAGCGUUUGACCCCGAAAAGGUCGGACUCUAAAGCGGAAGGGUCGGGCGCGAUGCGCGCGAUACGGCAGAGCUGAGACCGCGCACCGUGGGCUUGCGAGCGGCGUCUGCGGUGUCACCCGCACCAAAGACUCCACGUCCCGCCUGCUCCGCGGUGGACGUCAAAGAUCCAGUGACGUCAUUGGAAAACACGAUGAGGUCAUGUUUUCUGGCAUUGCGGCACCGAUUUACCGAAUGCCAUAACAAUUACUCGCGAAUUAGUCAAUGGGAAAGUGGCGUGGCGACGGCGUCCCGCUGGCGGGAGACUGCCACUUGCAGGUGGCCGGGAAGGCGGAACGCGGCGUGUCCGUCGUUUUGAUCACCUCCCGCGAAACAAAACCCGGCUCAGAGAGAGCCGUCCCUCGUCCGCGGUGGGACGAGAUCGCACGUGGUUAUGAGUCGGCGUUGACACCGGAUGGUUUGGUGGGCCCAGGGCUCAGAGGGCCCCUUGCCAACAGCGACUUCCCCACGAGAGAGCGUGAAUCGACGAGCCCAGUGGAGCAUCUUCGGCCUGUGUGUGGCGAACCGGAACCCAGCCCUCUACUGUGAACAUCGCCGCCGCAUUCGCGACUGCAUAGCGUACAUAACAAAGUCACGCGCUCAAGUUGCCAGAAUUACGACCCAAACUCAGUCCCGGAAAGAAGACUAAACAAGCAUCAAUGGAGCAUUUCUGCUCGUGUUGGGAUCCAUCGUCCCUCGCCAGGCCUCCUUCUGGACAGGCGCGGCGUGCGUCACGGCGCGCGACGGUCCGCGAGCGGCACCGGGCGAGGCCCACACACGGUCGGGGACAAGUUCCGCGUCUACUUUCGACGGUCGAUGGCGGGACCGGGCCAGCCGGACGUCGGCUUGUUGAAGGCGAGCUGCGAGCUGCGCGCCCGGAUGAAACCCUCCGUGUUGGGGAGUCCAGUGCGGGUCGUCACCGUGACGGUUGUGAUCACACUUCCGAUGGGUACGGCGACGAGGUUAUAUUUGUCAAAUGCAAUUGUAACAAAUAAAAGAGGGGCGACACAUCAUGGGGUUAAGAAGAUCUCGCAAUACCUUAAUAUGGGAGAAGCACACCUCACUGGCAUGUAGCUGACAAAACCAGGGACUAUUGACGUUUAAUGUCCCGGGAAGAUUGAGAGAUUUCUAAGAUCAGCAGCUGCCUCCUCGACAAGAAGAGUCUCUUGGGAAAAUCAGGACAGGUGGCAACUCUAGCGGAGUACCUGUGGGCUAGUCUUGUACUGUUAUUGGCCCAACGGAAGUUAAUUGUGCGAUGGGGUCAGUACUGUCGUGCUAUAAACACGACAGUGCAAUCUGGACUCACGUGGCCUUCUAACACACGACCACAUCUCAAGUGAAUAUAGAUCUCGCGACUGACCGAGUGGACGUAUAAGUUGGACCAGGAGCAGGGCUAAAUUACAAUCCACCCCCGUCACCCCCUCUUCUGUACCCUCCUUUAUAAUUAGCAUUUCUCUGAUGGAAAGGAAAGGUAAUUAGGCAGUAUAUUUCACCGCAAAUUAUUCAUUUAUUCAUUAGAGUCAUGAACAGAGUGUUUGAUGUCGCCUUAAUUGAUUAGACUAUUUCAGGAAUCAGUUUUGAUGUCCAGAUGUACUAUUGUUGAGGCUUCAAAGGUUAAAUUUAAAAACCAUCCUGCGCACACGUUGCACAAUCGCAGAGCCACAACAUCCCCAUCUCAGUUUCAGGUAACCCAUCAGCCGGCCAAGGUCAAUAAAAUCAGUACUACUAUGUGGGACGUUAACGGCGGUCGUCCCGUGCAGACUGGCCCCCGUCACGGGAAUGUAGAAUGUCCAGCACUGCACGGGGCAGCCAAUGGAGUGACGUCUCUCACUGUAAUCCUUUGGGCAGAAAGUCGGCGACUACGGGAUGCCUGUCUCCCAAUCACUGACCGACAUUCUCAUCAUGACAACAUAAGCAGACAAUGCGCCCCCUUCAACAUGCUGAUGAGAAGCUGCACGUGGGAACCGUCGCGGGGUUCUCGUGUCCAGGUGAUGAGUCAGCGAUGGUGCCGUUUCUCUGUCUCAGUGACACUUUUGUUGUCCGGGUGCAGACGCGGCCGUGCGAAGGGGACACUGCUUUUAUACAGCAAAUGACACGUUUAAUUUCUGAUAAUUUUAAAAUUAAUUUUGCGUGCAUGACCAAUAGUUGGUAGUUAAGUGAGUUACAUUCGUUACGAACUAUUAGUCCCUCAGCCUCUCUGGCCUGUCUCUCGCUCUCUGCUAUCAGGAGUCAUUGCCCGAAAUGUCGUCCAUCAUAAAUAUGUUUACCUCUGCAAGGGCAUUAUUAUUGACGUGUGUGUUGACUUGUUAUCAGCGCACUGCUGCGGCACUGGUGGUUCAUGAGACGCCCAUCGUGGCCAUGAGCGCGCCCCAGAGCCAGCGCCUUCGUUGGCGAGCGCCACGCCGCUCCACACCGGACUUGGUAUGCGGUCGGCGUCGUUCUAGCACUGAGGUGGGUCCUGGCAGUCGUGUA